This 52-nucleotide transfer RNA is filed under the name Heptacodium miconioides. RNAcentral's name for it is "partial tRNA-Leu". Lineage: Eukaryota; Viridiplantae; Streptophyta; Magnoliopsida; Dipsacales; Caprifoliaceae. The record is from RNAcentral.
CCUCUCCUUUUUAUCCUGUUUUUGUUAGCGGUUCCAAAUUUGUUAUAUUUCU